CACAGCCCCGCUACACACACCUGCACGUGUGGCACAGCCGUGUGAUGGCACGCACACCUGACACACCGCGCAGUCGUGUGUGUGGCACACAACCCUUUCGCAUCUGUGCACACACACCUGUGCGCGCACCUGCCUGAGCCAUGGCACACACACCGCACACGCGCCACGCCAAACCCUCCCAGCCUUACACCCGCACACGGCAAGCCCCCAUGUGAUGGCACACACGCCUUACACACACUUUACACACACACACCCACAGCAGGCAGCCAUGUGAUGGCACAAAUGCCUUAUAUUCUCUUUACACUCACCUUACACACACACACCUCGCAUACUUCGCACACACCCACACACGCGUUAUUCCUGUGCACACACCAGCCUGAGCUGUGACACAACAUGUCUAAGCCACGCCAAACCUUCUCCCUCCCCACUGUACUGGUACCUCACACCCCCAGCUCCUCUGAGCCAGACGAUCCCCUCAGGACAAGAUGGGGGACCCAACGUUCCCUGUUUGUGCCCCCGCCACCUUCGCAUCCUGCAUGUCCCUGUAGAGCUACAGGGUGACCACCCCACCCCUCACCACAGUGGUAGCACCACCUCCACCCUCCAGAGCCUCCCACGGCACCCCCAAGGAGCGAGUCAGGCCCAGGCUCGUUUUCAUUCACUUUUCCGCAUACUUUAUUUGUUACAAACAUACAAUUCUUUAAAUAUAGACUGUAAAACUCCAUUUGCAAAAAUCUGCUACGUCAGGAGUGCUCGGAGCAGGAGGAGUUCGUCGCGUCGGCCUCAUCUGCGCUAGUGGUAACACCCAGGACCUGCCUCCGGCCCCUGGAGCCGCCCCGCCGGCUGCAGGGAAGGGACACGGGGGCCCCGGUCCCCCCGGCUGCCUAAAGUGCAGGGACAUCAUGGCGAGCGCUCGGGGAGGGAGGUGGCGCUCCUGGGAUCUGCUGCUCUGAGGAGGAUCCGGUGCUCGGAGGAGGAUCCGACAUUCGUAGGAUCCAGUUGUCAGAGGAUCCAGUUCUCCGAGGAGGAUCUGCUGCUUGGAGAAGAACCCAGCUCAAAGAGGAGGGUCCAGUGUUUGGAGGAUCCAGCUCUCAGAGGAUCCAACUCAGAAGAUCCAGCUUUUGGAUACAAUUCUUGGAGGACCCAGCUGUCAGAGAAUCCAAGUCUGGGAGCGCCUGGCUCUUGGAGGAGGAUCCAGUGCUCUCCCCACUGAUGCUGUCCCAGCCUCCUGGCUGGGCUGACCCGUGUGCUGGGGCCUGGUGAGCCACCUGUGCUGGACCAGCUGCCUCUCAGCUGCUGCUCCGAGGCCAGAGCCCCCUGGGGCCGCUGUUGUGGGGCUGAACCCCGGGGGCUGCAGGCUGUGCAGUGCUCCUUCCUGGCUGUCCUGCCUGGAUCUGGGUUCUCCUGCCAACACCCAACCCCGUGGCUUGGCUCCAGUGCCGCUGGCUCUACCGGCUCCGCGAGGAUAAGGAGGGCGAUGGCACCUGUGGCCUCGCCCUGCAGGAACAUCUGGGAGCAUCCAUGAAGCCAGCUGGGAUUUCCCACUGGGAACACCUACUGAGCUCCGUGGUGCACCACCCUGCGUACCCCCAGUGCUCUCUCAGCUGCUUUUUUUUAUCUUUUCCAGUUUUUUUGCGAUUUUUUUCCACUUUUUGCUUUUUUAUGAGAGGCCAGUGAGGGGUUGGGUUGGUUUUGUCACCAACAUGAGGAGCCGCCACUGGCACUGCCCCCCAAACCAUCCUACACCGCUCCCAAAUCGCCUGGAAACAGGCAGGAGAAUCCGAAUUUUCUUCCAUGUUUUUUAGGGCAAAACGAAUUGAAGCUGUUUGAACUUGCCCUGGAAGCACCACCCACUCCAGACCCAGCCAUUUGGGGUAUUUUCCACUGGGUUUUGGGGCAUUGUACAAGACUUACAAUAUUCUGUCUGUAAAGCCAUCAUCGCAUUCUCCAUCAACCCCUCUGGGGCAGCAAAGCUGGAAGUACCAGGAAUUUGGGAUAUUUUUUCCCUAUUUGUGGUUUAAAAAUAAAAAAAAAAAAAAAGCAAUUUGCCCAUUUUCUACAGAAUUCAACCCAAAACCCAACCGAAUCUGAGCUAUGUACACACAGCCAUGUCUAUACACACAGAGAUGGGAAGGGGGUUCAGGGGAGAUGCCGGCGUUGUCCUGCUUUCCUGGGAAACACCCAACGGCUCCUGGGGGACUCCAAGAGAAAAACAACCCAAAAAUUCUCCCCCAAGAUCCCCUCCCCCAUGGCAGCCCCCAUGGCCGCUCCCCUUGUUUCAGCUGGCACCUCAAAUCCCCUUUUUUCCCUAUUUUAUCUCAUUUUGUCUGUUUUUUCUGCUGUCUUCCCCCGACGUGCUCUGCUCUUCCCACCCAAAUGGAGCUGUGGGAGAUUCUGUCCAUGGAUCCAGCACUUCUCUGGCCAGGAAAGACUCCCUGAGCCAACGCCGGGAGCUUUUUUGGGUUUAUUACUGGAUUUUGGUGGUUUUGCCUUUUUUUUUUUUUUUUCCUCUUCCAUGUAUUUCUAGCCAGCUCCCAGAGCUGGGCCGGGCCAGCAGUGAUUCUGCCGCUCUCCCAGAGUAGAAAUAAGGCUAAAUCACCGCAAUUCAGCCAAAAGAAAGAAACCCAAAGGAAUAUAUAUAUAUUUUUAUAUAUAUAUAUAUAUAUAUAUAUCUCUCAUCCUCUUCAAAAAUAAAAGGAGAGGUCCCGCGGCUGGACGCCGGUGAGUCCCGCGGAGGUGGGAGCGUUUUUCCCCCCAAAUCCAUUGUCGCCGUCGUGGUUUAUGGUUUUUCUCCGUGGCAAAGAACACAGGACCAGGAGGAUGGGUGGAUACAGCAGGAAUUCACCGGAAAGAGCUGCCUGAGGGUACAAAAUACAGUACGGACACAUCAGCCAUCGAGGAAGGACUAUUGCUCCCGUGUGAUUGAGUGAGGGAUCCGGGUCCUUUGCGACGGAGAAGGCUUAAAAACGGGAUCAAUGGAAGAAAUUCGCUUUAAAAAUCCCUUUAAAAACAGCGACGGCAGCGGGAGCAGUGGGAGCAGCGCGAUGGGGCCGGAUGGACGGAUGGACAGCAGCGUCCCUGCGGUGCGGGGGUCCCCCAGGGCUCUGCGGCUGUUCCUCACUUCCCAAUAAAUAUGGAGAGUGGGAGAUGCCGGAUCCAUGGUAAUAAAUUAAGGAGGCAGCUGAUUGGGCUCCCAAAAAUGGAUUAAAAGGAAAAAAAAAAAAAAAAAAAAAAAAAAAAAAAAAAAAAAAAAAAGAAAAAAAAAAAAGAAAAAAGAAAAGUCCUAAAAUGGUGAAACCGUUGGAGAAGAAGAGGCAAAACUUUGGAAUGAGAGCGAUGGAGUUCAGAGUUGUGGGAAAACGGGGUGAAAAACCGGAAUUCUGGGAAGGGCGGGACUGAGCUGAGGGAGUGAAAAAGAAUUUAAAAAAAAGACUAUUUGAGAGUGGAAAAAUGUGUUUAAUAGGAGGUGGUUGUAGGGACCAGGCAGCGCCAGGGCCAGGCCCAGGGGGUUAUAAAAAGACAAAAGGAGGCAAAAAAUAACAAUAAACCUCCAAAAUCCACCCCCAAGGUGCCGGGGCCGGGCGUGGCCACGGAUUUGGGGCCGGAAAAUCCAAUUUGGGUGAAGCCAAGGGGCGGAUUCCGGCGGGUCCUAGUGAAACGGGGCCGGAGGCGCCUUAUUUGGAGAGAAGUGGAAGAUGGUUCGCCCCGUCGAGUUUUUCCUUGUGCUUUGUGCCGGCGCCUCCCCCUUUCCGGCGGGAAACGGGGAGGGGGGAAAAACGGUCAGAAAUCGGCAAAACCGAGAAAAUAUUCCCUAAUUGUCAGGGAGCCGCCAGCUCGGGGCCGGUUCCAGUUCGGGUGCCCGGAGUUUGCAUCAAAAAAAACAAACAAAAAAACCCCCAAAAAACAAAACAAAAAAAAAAAA
Molecule: non-coding RNA, 3922 nt
Organism: Cyanistes caeruleus (blue tit)
Lineage: Eukaryota; Metazoa; Chordata; Aves; Passeriformes; Paridae
Source: RefSeq, a predicted model, not a curated record